AGAGUUUGAUCAUGGCUCAGGACGAACGCUGGCGGCGCGCUUAACACAUGCAAGUCGAGCGAGAUCCAGCCCUUCGGGGCUGGGGACAGCGGCGAACGGGUGAGUAACACGUGAGUAAUCCACCCUCGGCAUCGGGAUAGCCCGGGGAAACCCGGAUUAAUACCGAAUGGCCCAUUCGCUCCUCGGAGAUGAAUGGGAAAGGUAGCUUCGGCCUCCGGCCGGGGACGAGCUCGCGGCGGAUUAGCUUGUUGGUGGGGUAACGGCCCACCAAGGCGACGAUCCGUAGCUGGUCUGAGAGGACGAUCAGCCACACUGGGACUGAGACACGGCCCAGACUCCUACGGGAGGCAGCAGUGGGGAAUCUUGCGCAAUGGGCGAAAGCCUGACGCAGCGACGCCGCGUGAGGGAAGAAGGCCUUCGGGUUGUAAACCUCUUUCAGGAGGGACGAAGCCACUCGGGUGAAUAGCCCAGAGGGUGACGGUACCUCCAGAAGAAGCCCCGGCUAACUACGUGCCAGCAGCCGCGGUAAUAC
RNAcentral lists this ribosomal RNA (532 nucleotides) under uncultured bacterium. RNAcentral's name for it is "bacterial SSU rRNA". It matches the Rfam family "Bacterial small subunit ribosomal RNA", at positions 8 to 526 of the family's 1533-position model. The record is from RNAcentral.